GAUAUCGCGGAGCGGCGCUGCUGGGCUGUUUUUGCGUCCACAUGGAUCCAUCAACGUGCAUAUGGAACCCUAUCCAGUGCACUCUGCAGCUCGUCCUCAGCCGCCCCAGCAGCGGCGCGGCGAUUCGAGCUGGCUCCGCCUACCACGGCACGUCCGUCAUCCGCUACCGACGCGAGCCGUAUCGGGACACAGCAGACAGCGCCGAGGGAGCUGCUAGCUCUUGUGCUACUUUUUCCUCUGAAGGCAACUCCGAGUACGACGACUUCCUGCGGCACCGUCGCGUGAUAGCCGAGAAAAACGCCCUGCACCUUCACGCACUCACCACGGCUGGCGGUAUAUACAAGGACGCCAAGGUGCUCGAUGUCCAGUCCUACCAGGUGAGGUGCGUCUCGGCCUCUACUGAAGCGGCCGCGGCAGUGCUCAAGGUUGUGUCCGUCGAGCAGGAGGAUGCUGGUGCGGCAUCAGCGGACAGCAGCUUCAGCGGUGGAGCUGCGAAAAGGAAGGGAAGCUCCAAGGUUCGGAAAGGGGGCGGCGCGGCUGUUGUGGAACACGAUGCGCAGACGUCUGACGACUCGCGCGCACCCGCCGCAGUGGACUGGGGAUCUAAGCUGAUCCUAUUUGAAGGCGCCGGCAGCUUACCCCCGUUCUCUGAAGUGGAUCUGACAACUCAGUUUGUUGGCAGAGUUCAGUCUUUUGACUGUGGCGGCAUCUACGCCGCCUGCGGGAUCGGUAGCAAUCCCGGCACCGAGGAUGUACCCCUACUCACACAUUUUGAGGUGCGCUUCGCCCGGUGCGCGUUUCCGGCCCCCGACGACCCGCAGUACCGCCUCGACUGGCAGCUCAAGAGUAUCCAGGUGCCUAGUAGCUUUCGCACCAUCUUGACGAACGGCGAGGAGCGCGGCCGCAAGGAACUGGCGGCGCAGCAGGCGGUGCAGGUGAGCUUUUCGCCGUGCGGCCCGCUACCCGCGUACGUCUUCUCGUUUGCGUGCUUCCCAGGCCUUGCUAAGCCGGAGAGCACAUCCGCAACUGGCGAUGGGCUGGAGGUGGUAGAGGGAGGCGUGGACAUCCCGAAGUUUGCCGGUGACAUCGCGAGCGGCGUCAGCCCCACCAGUAACCUGUCCUACACACUCGUCCCCGUCCGUGUACUGGCGCGACGACAAGCGCGAAUCGCUACGGCAACCCUCGAGCGCGUCUUACGCCUCACCAUCGAGGCUGUCACAGCGCUCCAGCAGCUCUUUCAGUGCCCGCUACCGCUCCUUCAGUGCGAGCACCUGGACGUCCUUCUUGGUCCAACAAUGCCGUAUAUCUCUGGUAUGGAGCACCACUGCUCGAUUAUUCUCAACGAGGCCAUCUACCAGCCAGGCAAGAAAACUGCUGCCGCUGGUGGAGGAAGUGCGGACCGUACCGCCGAGGUGGAACAGACAGAGCUCAUUGUGCACGAGCUGGCACACCACUGGGUAGGAAACGCCGUGGGACUGCCGUUUGCCGUGAAGGAGGGCAUCUGCCAGGUGAUCGAGCAGUGCCUCGGCGACACGCUACUGGGCAAGCCCAUGCGCACGUACAAGGCAGACAGCAGCGGCAGCACAAAGCCGGAGAGCUCGUCGCCCUGCUCCUCGACUGCUACGCUGCCGAAGAGCGCCAUUCGGGCCUCUGAGAAAGGCCGCGAGUUCACAGGCACCUCGUACCAGCACGCAUUCCGCGCUGUUAAGCGGCUGGUCGCCGCUCACGGGUUUGACCACUUUGCCGCGUGCCUGCGACAGCUCAUGCACGUGCACGUCGUUGUUCCAGCCAUCGCAGUCGAGGAGAGCGGCGGAAUUCAGGUGCUGCGGUGCAUCCGUGCUGACGUCGCCUCUCCGCCGUACCUAAGCACGGAGCAGUUUCUGCGCACCGUGGAGAGCGCGUUGUGAUUUUCCAUGAUGCGUACAUAUUGCAUGGGGUGCGCUCUCAUCGGAAAAGAUGCGUCUCUGAUGUUAUGGUGGAGACGCUGUGGAUACCGAUUAAGCCUGCAUGGGCGAAACCCUGCCGGAAGAG
RNAcentral lists this unclassified non-coding RNA (2031 nucleotides) under Leishmania donovani. Its description in RNAcentral is "gene:LdHU3.31.4160(CDS-product:aminopeptidase_put ative)". Lineage: Eukaryota; Euglenozoa; Kinetoplastea; Trypanosomatida; Trypanosomatidae. The record is from RNAcentral.